RNAcentral lists this long non-coding RNA (1089 nucleotides) under Bos grunniens (domestic yak). RNAcentral's name for it is "lncRNA (ENSBGRG00000026059.1)". Lineage: Eukaryota; Metazoa; Chordata; Mammalia; Artiodactyla; Bovidae. The record is from RNAcentral.
CCAGCUUGUGCUUCAUACAGUCUGGCAUUUUAGAUGAUAUACUCUGCAUAUAAGUUAAAUAAGCAGGGUGACAAUAUAUAGCCUUGAUGUACUACUUUCCCAAUUUGGAACCAGCCCAUUGUUCCAUGUCCAAUUCUAACUGUUGCUUCUUGACCAACAGUUAGAACCGACCAUGGUACUGUUUGUAGUGGUUGCCAAUGUCUGUGGUAUUGGCACUCCCACCAUUUCAAUUUCAACUUACCUUUUGGUAUCACUGAAUGCAGAAUUGGAAAGAGGGGCUAAAAAUUGGCUUCCAGGAGCAGCAUGGAUGGACUUUCACACACCAGUAACCGUUGAUGGGAGAGACACCCCAUGGCUCAGAUUUACGAAAAUAUGCAUCAGAUUUGAAACCGCUUACCUGAAAUGAGUAUGCCAUUAUAUCAGAGCUUUCUUUCAAGUCGUUAUCUGGAAAAUUUCCUGAAAUUGCCAAGAAUCUGCCACUUUCAAUAAUAUCAACUCUGAAAGAGAGAGAGAGGCUAGGAGAGACCGUGGGGGACAGAAGUGUUGAUUGCUGCCCAUGGCCAUGCUGGUUUCUUUUCUUCCCCUGUGUAAAGACUGCUGGCUUGGUAUCUCUGGACUCUAGCAGCGCUGGAGAAGAAAUUGGGAUUGUAAAAGAAAUCUUCGUUUUCUGUAAAAAUGUCCUCAAGGAAGUUCAACUCAAUUGCCUUCCUCUGAAAAAGACGCUAAACUACGUGAUUGUUCGAUGCUCCUGGAAAGAAAUAUCUGUUUCAUUUGAAGUUUCCAUUUUACCCUUGAAACCUAGGUUUGAUGGUGUGAGAAAUGCUUGCCUUCCUUUCUUUCUCCUGGUUGAGUUACAGAGAAUCAUUAGGUGCUUAUUAGACUAAUGUGAAGGCAGAUAACACCGGUUAUGGAGCCCAUGACUCAUUUUUAAAUUUUACCAGUUCUCUUUCACUUACUGCCUAAAUUGCAGGCUUUCUUGUGACAGGUAGCUCUGAAAUAGUAGAUAUCAAAAUUUAUGACUUAAAAAAGUUAAGGUGCUUAUCUUUAGAAAAUUCCUGGUAUGAGCCAAUUACCAACCUCUUUACUUUC